UGAAUUUUCUAGCGGAGAUUAAAACAUGUUUCACGUACCUAAAAAUAUCUCAAAAAACCCCAAAUCAAUGUUAAAAAUCCUUUUCAGCCAAUUUCAGAAUUCCACCACAGCGGCAUCACGGUGCUCCGGCGACGGCACCGCCGCCCGUAGCAGCAAUUUGUCUUGAAGUGGCCUUUUUUGUCAGUUUUUGGCCGAUUUCAGUCGGUUUUGUAUCCAUCCAUGCGAGAAAACAUGUUAGGAGACUUCGGUUGGCGUAAAAAAGUCAAAAAAUAAAAACUUACCGGCAGCGAAAUUUUUCGAUGCG
Molecule: long non-coding RNA, 304 nt
Filed under: Carica papaya (papaya)
Lineage: Eukaryota; Viridiplantae; Streptophyta; Magnoliopsida; Brassicales; Caricaceae
Description: long non-coding RNA (CPAP_LNC002088)
Source: RNAcentral